GGAAGGUAGGGGAGAGGAGGGGGUAUAGGGAAGGUAGGGGAGAGGAGGGGGUAUAGGGAAGGUAGGGGAGAGGAGGGAGGACUUCCUCCAUGUCAGGUAAGCAGCCUCCAAGUCUACCCUCACCAACUGACCAGACUGAGUGAGUUCUGAACAUCCCUCUCUGUCCUCUGAUGCUGCGUCCAAGUCUUCUUGGGUCUUUCUGGUGUCUCUGUCUUGACUCUUUAGUGAGUUUUUUCAGUUCUUUCCCAGGCUGCCUGAAAAACACAAAAAGAUGGCACAUACAUAAGAGUUAUAAACUAUCAAAAUAAAGAGAAUCCCACACUCCAUAUAUAAACUCCCAGUCAUUUAUUGGGUAUUUACCAACGUUUCAGCAUCACUGUGCCUUCUUCAGGGUGAUGUCAUCAAUACUUGAGCCAGGUUAUGUAGACAAACAGUGCAAUUAGUGCAACCAAUGACAAUAGAGAG
Molecule: long non-coding RNA, 465 nt
Filed under: Salmo salar (Atlantic salmon)
Lineage: Eukaryota; Metazoa; Chordata; Actinopteri; Salmoniformes; Salmonidae
Description: lncRNA (ENSSSAG00000092224.1)
Source: RNAcentral